Molecule: ribosomal RNA, 439 nt
Filed under: uncultured bacterium
Lineage: Bacteria
Description: bacterial SSU rRNA
Rfam family: Bacterial small subunit ribosomal RNA
Source: RNAcentral
UACGGGAGGCAGCAGUGGGGAAUAUUGCACAAUGGGCGCAAGCCUGAUGCAGCCAUGCCGCGUGUAUGAAGAAGGCCUUCGGGUUGUAAAGUACUUUCAGUCGUGAGGAAGGUGUUAAGGUUAAUAACCUUAGCAAUUGACGUUAGCGACAGAAGAAGCACCGGCUAACUCCGUGCCAGCAGCCGCGGUAAUACGGAGGGUGCGAGCGUUAAUCGGAAUUACUGGGCGUAAAGGGCACGCAGGCGGUUAAUUAAGUUGGAUGUGAAAUCCCCGGGCUUAACCUGGGAAUGGCAUUCAAGACUGGUUAGCUAGAGUCUUGUAGAGGGGGUAGAAUUCCAUGUGUAGCGGUGAAAUGCGUAGAGAUGUGGAGGAAUACCGGGUGGCGAAGGCGGCCCCUGGACAAAGGCUGACGCUCAUGUGCGAAAGCGUGGGGAGCAAA